GGUGGCUCAGUGGCAGAGCACUUGCCUUGCAUGCAUGAGGCCCUGGGUUCAAUUCCUCAGCACCA
Molecule: non-coding RNA, 65 nt
Organism: Dipodomys ordii (Ord's kangaroo rat)
Lineage: Eukaryota; Metazoa; Chordata; Mammalia; Rodentia; Heteromyidae
Source: Rfam